UAACAAGGAUUCCCCUAGUAACUGCGAGUGAAGCGGGAAAAGCUCAAAUUUAAAAUCUGGCGGUCUUUGGCCGUCCGAGUUGUAAUCUGGAGAAGUGCUUUCCGCUCUGGACCGUGUACAAGUCUCUUGGAAUAGAGCGUCAUAGAGGGUGAGAAUCCCGUCUUUGACACGGACUACCAGUGCUUUGUGAUGUGCUUUCAAAGAGUCGAGUUGUUUGGGAAUGCAGCUCAAAAUGGGUGGUAAAUUCCAUCUAAAGCUAAAUAUUGGCGAGAGACCGAUAGCGAACAAGUACCGUGAGGGAAAGAUGAAAAGCACUUUGGAAAGAGAGUUAAACAGUACGUGAAAUUGCUGAAAGGGAAACACUUGAAGUCAGUCGCGUUGUUCAGAACUCAGCCUUGCCUUGGCUUGGUGCAUUUUCUGAAUGACGGGCCAGCAUCAAUUUUGACUGUCGGAUAAAGGCCAGAGAAAUGUGGCUCCUUUGGGAGUGUUAUAGUCUUUGGUUGCAUACGAUGGUUGGGAUUGAGGAACUCAGCAUGCCUUUAUGGUCGGGGUUCGCCCACGUUCAUGCUUAGGAUGCUGGCGUAAUGGCUUUAAAUGACCCGUCUUGAAACACGGACCAAGGAGUCUAACAUGCCUGCGAGUGUUUGGGUGGAAAACCCGAGCGCGCAAUGAAAGUGAAAGUUGGGAUCUCUGUCGUGGAGAGCACCGACGCCCGGACCAGACCUUCUGUGACGGAUCCGCGGUAGAGCAUGUAUGUUGGGACCCGAAAGAUGGUGAACUAUGCCUGAAUAGGGUGAAGCCAGAGGAAACUCUGGUGGAGGCUCGUAGCGAUUCUGACGUGCAAAUCGAUCGUCAAAUUUGGGUAUAGGGGCGAAAGACUAAU
This 883-nucleotide ribosomal RNA is filed under the name Physisporinus sp. 2 RS-2021. RNAcentral describes it as "partial 28S ribosomal RNA". It matches the Rfam family "Eukaryotic large subunit ribosomal RNA", at positions 66 to 935 of the family's 3401-position model. The record is from RNAcentral. Lineage: Eukaryota; Fungi; Basidiomycota; Agaricomycetes; Polyporales; Meripilaceae.